This is a long non-coding RNA of Hemicordylus capensis (graceful crag lizard), 1257 nucleotides long. RefSeq lists it as uncharacterized. Lineage: Eukaryota; Metazoa; Chordata; Lepidosauria; Squamata; Cordylidae. The transcript has 4 exons. The record is from RefSeq and is a predicted model, not a curated record.
GCAAAGGCAAGAUGAGACAACACACAGACCGGCAGCCAGCACACACGCAGCCCAGAGGCAGGGAGGAAGGCAGGGAGCGGGAAGCGGAGAGAAGGGAACCGAACGCCCGAAGAGAAAAUGUUGUAUCUCUGACUCUUGAACAUUAUUUUCUGAUGUCAACCCAGCUAGUAUUGCCGGUCCAAACACCCAAACAUUAAUCACGCAGGACAGACAGACAAGCACCCAGACAAGCUGCUCCCCUCAACCCUGUUCCUUGGGAGGAAGACCCACGGCAAUCAGUGCGCUUUACUUUCAAAUGCUGGUGAUACAGUGACUGUUCCGAAUCGGUGCUCGGACGCAUUAAUGGACUGGAUGAGGAUGAACAAGCUGAGACUUAAUCCAGACAAGGCAGAAGUAUGCUGGUCGGUGGUUCCUCUGCCCGGGUGAAUGAUGUUCAGCCUGUUGUAGAUCAUGGGGCUGCACUCCCUGAAGGACCAGGUUCGCAGUUUGGGGGUUGCUCAUUGAUCCAGCACUGUCAUUAGAGGCUCAAGUGGCCUUUGUGGCUCAGAUCAACUUUUAUCAGCUUUGGCUGAUACGCCAACUGCAACCUUACAUGGACAAAGACAGAUUGGCCACAGUUACUCAUGCUCUGGUAACCUUUUGCUUAGAUUACUGCAAUGCAUUGUACGUGGGGCUUCCUUUGAAAAUGAUUCAGAAACGGCAGCUGGUACAAAAUAGGGCUGCAAGAUUAUUAACUGGUACUGAAUGUUUUGAGCAUAUUACACCAGUGCUUCAUCAGCUGCUCUGGCUCCCAGUCAGUUUUCUGGCCCUAUGGUUUUAACCUUUAAAGCCCUAAAUGGCUUGGGACCGGGUUACCUGAGAGAGCACCUUGCCCCAUAUGUCCCAGGCAGCAGCGGCUCCAAAGGCCUUUAAGUCCAGGCUCCAAAAUUGCCUAGAUGCACCUCUGCUUGUAGUGCACACAAGACAUAUGCACAAAGUUGAUUCUGGGAAUGGUGAAAGAUUUUUAACAUGGAAAACGCAGCCAGAAAGUCUUUGCACAUAGGCAGAAGAGGCAAUUUACUGCACAUGUGCAAUUUGUCUUCUUCCCCCCUAAUAAUACAGUGGAGAGCAGCAAGAUGCAUCCCUGAAGACAGCCAUAGGUGAACUGGACUGGGCAUGUACAUUUCCCUCAUCUAUAAAUGGCAUAUUUAUCUUACGCAUUUCUGUAAAGUGAAAUCCUAAUAACAUAUAUAUUUUAAAACUCUGCUAUAUUAUCAA